GAUGAACGCUGGCGGCGUGCCUAAUACAUGCAAGUCGAGCGAACGGACGAGAAGCUUGCUUCUCUGAUGUUAGCGGCGGACGGGUGAGUAACACGUGGAUAACCUACCUAUAAGACUGGGAUAACUUCGGGAAACCGGAGCUAAUACCGGAUAAUAUUUUGAACCGCAUGGUUCAAAAGUAAAAGACGGUCUUGCUGUCACUUAUAGAUGGAUCCGCGCUGCAUUAGCUAGUUGGUAAGGUAACGGCUUACCAAGGCAACGAUGCAUAGCCGACCUGAGAGGGUGAUCGGCCACACUGGAACUGAGACACGGUCCAGACUCCUACGGGAGGCAGCAGUAGGGAAUCUUCCGCAAUGGGCGAAAGCCUGACGGAGCAACGCCGCGUGAGUGAUGAAGGUCUUCGGAUCGUAAAACUCUGUUAUUAGGGAAGAACAUAUGUGCAAGUAACUGUGCACAUCUUGACGGUACCUAAUCAGAAAGCCACGGCUAACUACGUG
This 497-nucleotide ribosomal RNA is filed under the name uncultured bacterium. RNAcentral describes it as "partial 16S ribosomal RNA". It matches the Rfam family "Bacterial small subunit ribosomal RNA", at positions 28 to 507 of the family's 1533-position model. The record is from RNAcentral.